Molecule: transfer RNA, 67 nt
Filed under: Soliperla sp. ZTC-2018
Lineage: Eukaryota; Metazoa; Arthropoda; Insecta; Plecoptera; Peltoperlidae
Description: tRNA-Asp
Source: RNAcentral
AAAGGAUUAGUUAAAUUAACUUUAGUAUGUCAUGCUAAAAUUACUAGUAUAAAUCUAGUAUCCUUUA